Molecule: ribosomal RNA, 253 nt
Filed under: uncultured bacterium
Lineage: Bacteria
Description: partial 16S ribosomal RNA
Rfam family: Bacterial small subunit ribosomal RNA
Source: RNAcentral
GACAGAGGGUGCAACCGUUGUUCGGAAUUACUGGGCGUAAAGCGCGUGUAGGCGGCCCUGUAAGUCGGAUGUGAAAUCCCACGGCUCAACCGUGGAAGUGCAUUCGAAACUACAGGGCUAGAGUCCUGGAGAGGAAGGUGGAAUGCUUGGUGUAGAGGUGAAAUUCGUAGAUAUCAAGCGGAACACCGGUGGCGAAGGCGGCCUUCUGGACAGUGACUGACGCUGAGACGCGAAAGCGUGGGGAGCAAACAGG